GACGAACGCUGGCGGCGCGCUUAACACAUGCAAGUCGAGCGAGAACCCAGGCUUCGGCCUGGGGGACAGCGGCGAACGGGUGAGUAUCACGUGGGUAAUCUGCCCUCGGCAUCGGGAUAG
RNAcentral lists this ribosomal RNA (120 nucleotides) under uncultured bacterium. Its description in RNAcentral is "partial 16S ribosomal RNA". It matches the Rfam family "Bacterial small subunit ribosomal RNA", at positions 28 to 146 of the family's 1533-position model. The record is from RNAcentral.